GAACGCACAUUGCGCCCGCCAGCAUCCUGGCGGGCAUGCCUGUCCGAGCGUCAUUUCAACCCUCAGGGCCCGUCCGCGGGACCUGGCGUUGGGGAUUGGCCGCGCCCAUGGAGGCCGGCCGGCCCUGAAAUACAGUGGCGGUCACGUCGCGACCUCCCCCGCGUAGUAGAACUCACCUCGCGGCGGGAAGGCGGCGCGGCCACGCCGUGAAACCCCCUACUUCUCAAGGUUGACCUCGGAUCAGGUAGGAAUACCCGCUGAACUUAAG
RNAcentral lists this unclassified non-coding RNA (268 nucleotides) under uncultured Hypocreales. RNAcentral's name for it is "sequence contains 5.8S rRNA gene". Lineage: Eukaryota; Fungi; Ascomycota; Sordariomycetes; Hypocreales. The record is from RNAcentral.